ACAGUUAUGCCAACAGUAUAGGUAAACAUUGUUCGUCUUGAAAGAGCGAACAGAUGGAUUUCCGGAUGGCGCCGUGGCCGCCGGCGAUUUCCCGUACCGCCGCCGCAAUAUUUUCCGCGCGAACCUCCCUCAAAUUCACGCGAACUAUAGCUCUCCCCGGCCCUGCCCACGCCUCCGCCGCAGCUCACGGGGCAGCUCUUCCUGCAGCGCCAACCACAGCCGUGACACGACGAAGACGCUCGGCGACGGUCUGCUGCUGCUGCUUACGAGGCGAGUGCUGGCUCGGCUCCACGCCAAUCUGUAAUGCGAAGUUGGAGGCCGCCGGAAGCACGGACAGAGGAGGCCUAUGUCACGGGCCAAGGCUGCAUUUCGGAGCUCGAAAGCUGAAACGAAAUCUCCGAGAUCCAAAUUGGGUACUGCUCCACCGAUGAGCGGUUCCUCGCGGCGGGGCUGGAGGCGAUGCAGAGAUGGCUGUAGCGGCUGGGGCGCGCCGCGGGAGGGGAGAGGUCUCGUUGGCCGCCCUAACGACAGAAGGCGCCGCCGCCCGCCGGGUGGGAUGCGCCCAGGCGGCUACAGCGAGCAGUUCUGGACUUCAGGAGGACAAGGAGAAACAGUAGCCUAUGAAAGCCUCAGCUGGUUAUCAGUUUCCCCUUUUUUGUUGUGGAGGAAGAAGAUGAGAGGAAGAAGAAGGACUCAGGAAGAGCACACGAAGUGGAGCUGCUUAAGACUCUGAGCUGCAGCUGCUCUCCUCUUUAUAGACACACCGAUCAAAGGUGUUUACUGGCUUCCCCCGGAGAAAGUGACGCGAAGAAGAGGAAGAACAUCUCCUUCAUUUUAAGCGAAAUGCAGAGAUGAAACUGGAACAAGCAGCAAAAGAAAAGAAGAGACAUAGGAGCGCGCAAGCUGCUGGCCCUUGUCUUACGCGUAGAUCUGCUUGAGUUACCACAAUGCUCUGGAAGAAUGCGCAAGCAGAACGGCUCCGUACCUGCUCGACUCCUCUGGUUGUAGUGGACGAGCUCCUCCCCUCAAAGCCGCCAGCCAUUGCAGCC
Molecule: RNA transcript, 1049 nt
Organism: Panicum virgatum (switchgrass)
Lineage: Eukaryota; Viridiplantae; Streptophyta; Magnoliopsida; Poales; Poaceae
Exons: 4
Source: RefSeq, a predicted model, not a curated record